AGAUCAUCACUGGGUUUAAAGGGUGCGCAGGCGGUUUUGUAAGACAGAGGUGAAAUCCCCGGGCUCAACCUGGGAACUGCCUUUGUGACUGCAAGGCUGGAGUGCGGCAGAGGGGGAUGGAAUUCCGCGUGUAGCAGUGAAAUGCGUAGAUAUGCGGAGGAACACCGAUGGCGAAGGCAAUCCCCUGGGCCUGCACUGACGCUCGUGCACGAAAGCGUGGGGAGCAAACA
This 230-nucleotide ribosomal RNA is filed under the name uncultured Alicycliphilus sp. RNAcentral describes it as "partial 16S ribosomal RNA". It matches the Rfam family "Bacterial small subunit ribosomal RNA", at positions 550 to 774 of the family's 1533-position model. Lineage: Bacteria; Pseudomonadati; Pseudomonadota; Betaproteobacteria; Burkholderiales; Comamonadaceae. The record is from RNAcentral.